ACUCAAAUGAAUUGACGGGGGCCCGCACAAGCAGUGGAGCAUGUGGUUUAAUUCGAUGCAACGCGAAGAACCUUACCCAGGCUCGAAAUGUAAUGGACGAUAUCAGAGAUGGUAUUUCCCGCAAGGGCUGUUAUAUAGGUGCUGCAUGGCUGUCGUCAGCUCGUGCCGUGAGGUGUUUGGUUAAGUCCAGCAACGAGCGCAACCCUUAUCAUUAGUUGCCAACACGUAAGGUGGGGACUCUAGUGAGACUGCCUAGGUUAACUAGGAGGAAGGUGAGGAUGACGUCAAGUCCGCAUGGCCUUUAUGUCUGGGGCUACACACGUGCUACAAUGGUCGGUACAGAAGGCAGCAAGACCGCAAGGUGGAGCAAAUCCGUAAAGCCGAUCACAGUUCAGAUUGUAGUCUGCAACUCGACUACAUGAAGUUGGAAUUGCUAGUAAUGACGUGUCAGCAACAACGUCGUGAAUACGUUCCCGGGCCUUGUACACACCGCCCGU
RNAcentral lists this ribosomal RNA (497 nucleotides) under uncultured bacterium. RNAcentral describes it as "partial 16S ribosomal RNA". It matches the Rfam family "Bacterial small subunit ribosomal RNA", at positions 899 to 1397 of the family's 1533-position model. The record is from RNAcentral.